AUUGAACGAUGGCGGCAGGCCUAACACAUGCUAGUCGAACGAGUGGCGGACGGGUGAGUAAUGUCUGGGAAACUGCCUGAUGGAGGGGGAUAACUACUGGAAACGGUAGCUAAUACCGCAUACCAUCGGAUGUGCCCAGAUGGGAUUAGCUAGUGGUUGGGGUAAAGGCUCACCGUGGCGACGAUCCCUAGCUGGUCUGAGAGGAUGACCAUCCACACUGGAACUGAGACACGGUCCAGACUCCGACGGUAGGCAGCAGUGGGGAAUAUUGCACAAUGGGCGCAAGCCUGAUGCAGCCAUGGCGCGUGUAUGAAGAAGGCCUUCGGGUUUUAAAGUACUUUCAGCGGGGAGGCGUUACCCGCAGAAGAAGGAACGGCUAACUCCGUGCCAGCAGCCGCAGUAAUAC
Molecule: ribosomal RNA, 406 nt
Filed under: uncultured bacterium
Lineage: Bacteria
Description: partial 16S ribosomal RNA
Rfam family: Bacterial small subunit ribosomal RNA
Source: RNAcentral